UGGCGGCAGUAGCGCGGUGGUCCCACCUGACCCCAUGCCGAACUCAGAAGUGAAACGCCGUAG
RNAcentral lists this ribosomal RNA (63 nucleotides) under Escherichia coli 2-316-03_S4_C2. The record is from RNAcentral. Lineage: Bacteria; Pseudomonadati; Pseudomonadota; Gammaproteobacteria; Enterobacterales; Enterobacteriaceae.